CAAAGCCGCGAGGUGGAGCGAAUCUCCAAAAAUUGUCCCAGUUCAGAUUGCAGGCUGCAACUCGCCUGCAUGAAGUCGGAAUUGCUAGUAAUCGUGGAUCAGCAUGCCACGGUGAAUACGUUCCCGGGCCUUGUACACACCGCCCGUCACACCAUGGGAGUCGGUAACACCCGAAGCCUGUAGUCUAACCGCAAGGAGGACGCAGUCGAAGGUGGGAUUGAUGACUGGGGUGAAGUCGUAACAAGGUAUC
This 250-nucleotide ribosomal RNA is filed under the name uncultured bacterium. RNAcentral describes it as "partial 16S ribosomal RNA". It matches the Rfam family "Bacterial small subunit ribosomal RNA", at positions 1250 to 1500 of the family's 1533-position model. The record is from RNAcentral.